This 795-nucleotide ribosomal RNA is filed under the name uncultured bacterium. RNAcentral's name for it is "bacterial SSU rRNA". It matches the Rfam family "Bacterial small subunit ribosomal RNA", at positions 8 to 796 of the family's 1533-position model. The record is from RNAcentral.
AGAGUUUGAUCAUGGCUCAGAUUGAACGCUGGCGGCAUGCUUUACACAUGCAAGUCGAACGGUAACGCGGGGGCAACCCUGGCGACGAGUGGCGAACGGGUGAGUAAUACAUCGGAACAUGUCCUGGAGUGGGGGAUAGCUCGGCGAAAGCCGGAUUAAUACCGCAUACGCUCUGAGGAGGGAAGCGGGGGACCUUUCGGGGCCUCGCGCUGCAGGAGUGGCCGAUGUCGGAUUAGCUAGUUGGUGGGGUAAAGGCCCACCAAGGCGACGAUCCGUAGCUGGUCUGAGAGGAUGAUCAGCCACACUGGGACUGAGACACGGCCCAGACUCCUACGGGAGGCAGCAGUGGGGAAUUUUGGACAAUGGGGGCAACCCUGAUCCAGCCAUGCCGCGUGAGUGAAGAAGGCCUUCGGGUUGUAAAGCUCUUUCGGACGGAACGAAAUGGUUACGGUGAAUAUCCGUGACUGAUGACGGUACCGUAAUAAGAAGCACCGGCUAACUACGUGCCAGCAGCCGCGGUAAUACGUAGGGUGCGAGCGUUAAUCGGAAUUACUGGGCGUAAAGCGUGCGCAGGCGGUUCGCCAAGUCAGGUGUGAAAUCCCCGGGCUUAACCUGGGAAUUGCGCUUGAAACUAGCGGGCUUGAGUGUGGCAGAGGGGGGUGGAAUUCCACGUGUAGCAGUGAAAUGCGUAGAGAUGUGGAGGAACACCGAUGGCGAAGGCAGCCCCCUGGGUCAACACUGACGCUCAUGCACGAAAGCGUGGGGAGCAAACAGGAUUAGAUACCCUAGUAGUCC